UUUAAUAUUUUUGAUGAUUUGCUUUUGCUAUCAAAUGGAGAAACUGGUUAUUCUGGAGAAGCAAACAUGGCUCUAAUGUUUUUUGCUGAUACAGGUUUUCCUUGUUCCAUUAAAAGAAAUCCUUCUGAUCAUUUCAUUAUGAGCAUUAAUUUGGACUUUGGUUUGGUUAAUGAAGCUCUUGCUAGAUGUCAUACAACAUCAAAUUCAACAGAUGGAAUUAUAAGAACUGCAGAUGCAUUUUUUCUUCCUGUUUUAAUAAUUAUAUUUUCUAGAACAUUGAGGACAAUGUUAAUUGUCAAGGGGUAG
Non-coding RNA from Vicia faba (fava bean), 306 nucleotides. The record is from the annotation of a GenBank genome assembly. Lineage: Eukaryota; Viridiplantae; Streptophyta; Magnoliopsida; Fabales; Fabaceae.